UACGUAGGUGGCGAGCGUUGUCCGGAUUUACUGGGCGUAAAGAGCGCGCAGGCGGCUGGUCAAGUCCGAUGUGAAAGCUCCCGGCUUAACUGGGAAAUUGCAUCGGAAACUGAUCGGCUGGAAGGUGGGAGAGGGUAGCGGAAUUCCCGGUGUAGUGGUGAAAUGCGUAGAUAUCGGGAGGAACACCAGUGGCGAAAGCGGCUACCUGGCCCAUUCUUGACGCUGAGGCGCGAAAGCUAGGGGAGCGAACGGG
This 253-nucleotide ribosomal RNA is filed under the name uncultured bacterium. Its description in RNAcentral is "partial 16S ribosomal RNA". It matches the Rfam family "Bacterial small subunit ribosomal RNA", at positions 524 to 776 of the family's 1533-position model. The record is from RNAcentral.